This 276-nucleotide long non-coding RNA is filed under the name Pan troglodytes (chimpanzee). RNAcentral's name for it is "long non-coding RNA NONPTRT011258". The record is from RNAcentral. Lineage: Eukaryota; Metazoa; Chordata; Mammalia; Primates; Hominidae.
AAUCAUUCUGAUGAUGAUGGAGAUAUAUAAUUAGUAGAAUUAAAAACAGGCUUUGUGCUGUUAAAGGAUGGCAAGACCAACCACUGAAUAGACAAGAUUUUCUAAAGCUGAAUUUAUUGCUUAUAGGUUUUCAGAGGUAGAAGGAGUUGACAUCAUCAGUAAUACCAAAGGGGGGAAAAAACAAAUUAAAUUGAAAAUCUAUAAAAUGUUAAGAAACUGUAUGAACAGAAAAAAUAAGAUGACAGUUCAAAUAUUUUUGUUACUUUCAUUGGUAAU